CCCUUAGAGUUUGAUCCUGGCUCAGGACGAACGCUGGCGGCGCGCCUAACACAUGCAAGUCGAACGAGCGAGAGAGAGCUUGCUUUCUCGAGCGAGUGGCGAACGGGUGAGUAACGCGUGAGGAACCUGCCUCAAAGAGGGGGACAACAGUUGGAAACGACUGCUAAUACCGCAUAAGCCCACGGGUCGGCAUCGACCAGAGGGAAAAGGAGCAAUCCGCUUUGAGAUGGCCUCGCGUCCGAUUAGCUAGUUGGUGAGGUAACGGCCCACCAAGGCAACGAUCGGUAGCCGGACUGAGAGGUUGAACGGCCACAUUGGGACUGAGACACGGCCCAGACUCCUACGGGAGGCAGCAGUGGGGAAUAUUGCACAAUGGGGGAAACCCUGAUGCAGCGACGCCGCGUGGAGGAAGAAGGUCUUCGGAUUGUAAACUCCUGUUGUGAGGAAGAUAAUGACGGUACUCAACAAGGAAGGACGGCUAUUACGGU
RNAcentral lists this ribosomal RNA (488 nucleotides) under uncultured bacterium. Its description in RNAcentral is "bacterial SSU rRNA". It matches the Rfam family "Bacterial small subunit ribosomal RNA", at positions 1 to 506 of the family's 1533-position model. The record is from RNAcentral.